AGAGUUUGAUCAUGGCUCAGGACGAACGCUGGCGGCGCGCCUAACACAUGCAAGUCGAGCGAGAACCAGGGCUUCGGUCCUGGGGACAGCGGCGAACGGGUGAGUAACACGCGGAUAACCUGCCCUCGGCACCGGAAUAGCCCGGGGAAACCCGGAUUAAUGCCGGAUGGCCCCACAUCCCUGCGGGGAACGUGGGAAAAGGUAGCUUCGGCCUCUGGCCGAGGAUGGGUCCGCGGUGGAUUAGCUUGUUGGCGGGGUAACGGCCCACCAAGGCGACGAUCCAUAGCUGGUCUGAGAGGACGGUCAGCCACACUGGGACUGAGACACGGCCCAGACUCCUACGGGAGGCAGCAGUGGGGAAUCUUGCGCAAUGGGCGAAAGCCUGACGCAGCGACGCCGCGUGGGGGAAGAAGGCCUUAGGGUUGUAAACCUCUUUCAGGUGGGACGAAGCCACUCGGGUUAAUAGCCCAGAGGGUGACGGUACCGCCAGAAGAAGCCCCGGCUAACUACGUGCCAGCCGCCGCGGUAAUAC
This 532-nucleotide ribosomal RNA is filed under the name uncultured bacterium. RNAcentral's name for it is "bacterial SSU rRNA". It matches the Rfam family "Bacterial small subunit ribosomal RNA", at positions 8 to 526 of the family's 1533-position model. The record is from RNAcentral.